CCUACGGGAGGCAGCAGUAGGGAAUCUUUCACAAUGGGCGAAAGCCUGAUGGAGCAACGCCGCGUGCAGGAUGAAGGCUUUCGGGUUGUAAACUGCUUUUAUAAGCGAGAAAUAUGAUGGUAACUUAUGAAUAAGGAUCGGCUAACUACGUGCCAGCAGCCGCGGUCAUACGUAGGAUCCGAGCAUUAUCCGGAGUGACUGGGUGUAAAGAGUUGCGUAGGUGGGAUAAUAAGUAGCUAGUGAAAUCUGGUGGCUCAACCAUUCAGACUAUUAGCUAAACUGUUAAGCUCGAGACCGGUAGGGGUAAGUGGAAGUGCGAGUGUAGGAGUGAAAUGCGGAGAGAUUAGAAGGAACA
This 355-nucleotide ribosomal RNA is filed under the name uncultured bacterium. RNAcentral's name for it is "partial 16S ribosomal RNA". It matches the Rfam family "Bacterial small subunit ribosomal RNA", at positions 338 to 708 of the family's 1533-position model. The record is from RNAcentral.